This 594-nucleotide ribosomal RNA is filed under the name uncultured fungus. RNAcentral describes it as "eukaryotic LSU rRNA". It matches the Rfam family "Eukaryotic large subunit ribosomal RNA", at positions 40 to 647 of the family's 3401-position model. The record is from RNAcentral. Lineage: Eukaryota; Fungi.
AUAUCAAUAAGCGGAGGAAAAGAAACCAACAGGGAUUGCCUUAGUAACGGCGAGUGAAGCGGCAAUAGCUCAAAUUUGAAAUCUGGCGUCUUUGGGCGUCCGAGUUGUAAUUUGUAGAGGAUGUUUCGGUAUUAGCUCCGGUCUAAGUCCCUUGGAACAGGGUGUCGCAGAGGGUGAGAAUCCCGUACGCGACCGGUUGCUUUUGCCAUGUGAAACUCCUUCGACGAGUCGAGUUGUUUGGGAAUGCAGCUCUAAUUGGGAGGUAAAUUUCUUCUAAAGCUAAAUACUGGCCAGAGACCGAUAGCGCACAAGUAGAGUGGUCGAAAGAUGAAAAGCACUUUGGAAAGAGAGUUAAAAAGUACGUGAAAUUGUUGAAAGGGAAGCGCUUGCAAUCAGACCUGCUUGCAGUUGUUCAUCUAGGCUUUUGCCUAGUGCACUCUUCUGUAAGUCAGGCCAGUAUCGGUUCGGGCGGUUGGAUAAAGAAUUCAGGAAUGUAGCUCCUUUCGGGGAGUGUUAUAGCCUGUUUUGUAAUGCAACCAGCCCGGAUCGAGGACCGCGCUUCGGCUAGGAUACUGGCGUAAUGGUUGUAAGCGG